UCCCUAGCUGGUCUGAGAGGAUGAUCAGCCACACUGGAACUGAGACACGGUCCAGACUCCUACGGGAGGCAGCAGUGGGGAAUAUUGCACAAUGGGCGCAAGCCUGAUGCAGCCAUGCCGCGUGUAUGAAGAAGGCCUUCGGGUUGUAAAGUACUUUCAGUAGGGAGGAAGGUGGUUAAGUUAAUACCUUAAUCAUUUGACGUUACCUACAGAAGAAGCACCGGCUAACUCCGUGCCAGCAGCCGCGGUAAUACGGAGGGUGCAAGC
RNAcentral lists this ribosomal RNA (267 nucleotides) under Vibrio cholerae. RNAcentral describes it as "partial 16S ribosomal RNA". It matches the Rfam family "Bacterial small subunit ribosomal RNA", at positions 280 to 539 of the family's 1533-position model. Lineage: Bacteria; Pseudomonadati; Pseudomonadota; Gammaproteobacteria; Vibrionales; Vibrionaceae. The record is from RNAcentral.